GGUCUCAGCGGCGCGAGAAACAGGAGGGAGAGCCGAGAGCAACAAUGGUGUCGUUGAAGCUUCAGAAGCGGCUCGCUGCGAGCGUUCUCAAGUGCGGAAGAGGAAAGGUGUGGCUCGACCCCAAUGAAGUCAACGAGAUCUACAUGGCCAAUUCCAGGCAAAACAUAAGAAAGCUGGUGAAGGAUGGUUUCAUAAUAAGGAAGCCAACAAAGAUCCACUCUCGGUCUCGUGCACGCCGAAUGAAGGAAGCCAAAAGGAAGGGACGCCACUCUGGAUAUGGUAAGCGCAAAGGUACUAGGGAGGCAAGGCUGCCUACUAAAGUUCUCUGGAUGAGGAGGAUGCGGGUCUUGAGACGCCUGCUGCGCAAGUACAGAGAAUCAAAGAAGAUUGACAAGCACAUGUACCAUGACAUGUACAUGAAGGUCAAAGGUAAUGUUUUUAAGAACAAAAGAGUGCUGAUGGAGACUAUUCACAAGUCAAAAGCUGAGAAGGCAAGAGAGAAGAUUCUGACAGAUCAGUUUGAAGCAAAGCGGGCUAAGAACAAGGCUAGCAGGGAGAGGAAGCUUGCUAGGAGAGAAGAGCGUUUAGCCCAGGGUCCAGGAGAGAGAGCUGUAGCAGCACCCGCCCCUCAACCGACUGAGGGAACUAAAAAAACCAAGAAGUGAGACAAAUCUUGCAGGGUACUUGUGAUUUGUGAAUUAGAUAUGAACAAAUAGUAUUUGCCAGUUCCACAACAUUAUGCACCAUUUUGUUACAGUUAGAAGAAGCUUUAUUCCAUGUGUCAAAUGGCAAGCCUUGGCCGCGUAUAUUUGUUAUCUCACGCCUUGGAUGUGCAAACUGGCAUUGGGCCAUUGAUACACAUUAUCCAAAUGUGAGCUCAGGCUUUGAUUGGCCUUGGAUUGGAUGAUGUUUACGAUCAUGGAAUAUCGUUAAUAAUCAUCAAAAAGGGUUCAAAAGAUUCAAGAUGAGGUCAUGUGAAGUAGGGUGAUAUUGAUUUUUAAUUCAGAACCAUGCAAGGUAUGUUUCAUGAUUCCGAGUUUGAGUUGAUAGACUUUUUGAAGCUUCACCAAUUUCUUGACACAAGGAUGGAUAAGGGCUGCCAGGUGCAAUCUUGCUUUGGUGGGAGAGACUGGUAUUGUGUUGCGAAGUUAUUUAAUUCGUUACUGAUGUUUGGUGUUUUCUUGAAUGUUUAUAGACUCUUGUUGUAAUUCUGCCAAUAAAAAAACUAAAAUCAAAUCAGAGGAUCUUUCCUCGCUCGGUGAUUGAGAAA
RNA transcript from Nelumbo nucifera (sacred lotus), 1270 nucleotides. It is a transcript of the gene named large ribosomal subunit protein eL19z-like, with no coding region annotated. The record is from RefSeq and is a predicted model, not a curated record. NCBI's taxonomy places the organism in Eukaryota, Viridiplantae, Streptophyta, Magnoliopsida, Proteales, Nelumbonaceae.